GUGGGGAAUACUGGACAAUGGGCGAAAGCCUGAUCCAGCCAUGCCGCGUGUGUGAAGAAGGUCUUCGGAUUGUAAAGCACUUUAAGUUGGGAGGAAGGGCAGUAAGUUAAUACCUUGCUGUUUUGACGUUACCGACAGAAUAAGCACCGGCUAACUUCGUGCCAGCAGCCGCGGUAAUACGAAGGGUGCAAGCGUUAAUCGGAAUUACUGGGCGUAAAGCGCGCGUAGGUGGUUUUGUAAGUUGGAGGUGAAAUCCCCGGGCUCAACCUGGGAACUGCCUCCAAAACUGCAUGACUAGAGUACGGUAGAGGGUAGUGGAAUUUCCUGUGUAGCGGUGAAAUGCGUAGAUAUAGGAAGGAACACCAGUGGCGAAGGCGACUACCUGGACUGAUACUGACACUGAGGUGCGAAAGCGUGGGGAGCAAACAGGAUUAGAAACCCCAGUAGUCC
Molecule: ribosomal RNA, 450 nt
Filed under: uncultured bacterium
Lineage: Bacteria
Description: bacterial SSU rRNA
Rfam family: Bacterial small subunit ribosomal RNA
Source: RNAcentral